GCGUUGAGUUUUUCUUUUCUUCUAAGAUACGUAUGUUUAUACGAGUGUGAGUACGUAUGUGUUUUAAGUUAGUUUUGGUCAGUCGAAUUAACUACGUAAACAGUUACUUGUAUGGACAAUUAUGCCGCCGCCCAUGUGGUAAUGUGGUUCCAGCAGUAGGACACUUGACUGGUUACUCGCCGCAGCAGUUUCUGGAUGAAAGGUGUCGAGCUCGUCAAGUACUAAGCUUUACACCCCCAGCAGCAAAUUUACCCUGGCAGCAUAUGGGUGAAAACGCUGGAGGAGAAAGUCAUCGCUCUGUAAUUGGCCCUUGGACUCCCCUGGCAUCUCGUGUACAGCAUGAAGUUUUCAGCUAUGAAGGUAUAUUUUAGGCCUAUGUCUUAGUGUCCAGUGUUUUAAAAGUAUUGAAAAUAGUGCCUUUAGGUGUUUUUUUUUUUUUUUU
This is a long non-coding RNA of Cyprinus carpio (common carp), 442 nucleotides long. Lineage: Eukaryota; Metazoa; Chordata; Actinopteri; Cypriniformes; Cyprinidae. The record is from Ensembl.